GAAAAACGUGGGCCAAUCAAGGAAGAACAUUCUGAUGAUAUUCAGUUUCAGGAUAACAGAAUGAGGGAUGUUUAUGCUGAAGAAAGAUGGGCAAGUUCAAGGUUCUCAACCACUGCUCACAGUAGUUCUGUGAGAAGCAAAACCUCUUCUGAGAGUUCUUGGGAUGGUUCUUCUUCUAAAAGUACAAAGUCAACAAGGGGAAGACGGGGAAAUAAAACAGGUGCUGCAGAGCCAACUACUGGUUAUGGAA
RNAcentral lists this unclassified non-coding RNA (250 nucleotides) under Hevea brasiliensis (rubber tree). Lineage: Eukaryota; Viridiplantae; Streptophyta; Magnoliopsida; Malpighiales; Euphorbiaceae. The record is from RNAcentral.